RNAcentral lists this small nuclear RNA (107 nucleotides) under Neogale vison (American mink). Lineage: Eukaryota; Metazoa; Chordata; Mammalia; Carnivora; Mustelidae. The record is from RNAcentral.
GUGCUCGCUUUGGUAGCACAUAUACUAAAAUUGGAACAAUACAGAGAAGAUUGGCAUGGCCCCUGUGUAGGGAUGAAACACAAAUUCAUAAAGUGUUCUGUAUUUAA